This 114-nucleotide non-coding RNA is filed under the name Tetraselmis sp. GSL018. The record is from RNAcentral. Lineage: Eukaryota; Viridiplantae; Chlorophyta; Chlorodendrophyceae; Chlorodendrales; Chlorodendraceae.
AUAGAUAGAUAGAUAGAUAGAUAGAUAGACAGACAGAUGAAAAAAAUCCAAAUAGAUUUCCUUAAUUUCUUUCCCCUUUUCAGUUCACUUUCUUCCUCCUGUACUUUCUUCUGU